This 266-nucleotide ribosomal RNA is filed under the name uncultured soil bacterium. RNAcentral describes it as "partial 16S ribosomal RNA". It matches the Rfam family "Bacterial small subunit ribosomal RNA", at positions 26 to 283 of the family's 1533-position model. The record is from RNAcentral.
AGAUUGAACGCUGGCGGCAGGCCUAACACAUGCAAGUCGAGCGGUAGAGAGGUGCUUGCAUCUCUUGAGAGCGGCGGACGGGUGAGUAAUGCCUAGGAAUCUGCCUAGUGGUGGGGAUAACGUUCGGAAACGGACGCUAAUACCGCAUACGUCCGUACGGGAGAAAGGCGGGGGUACCUUCGGGCCUCGCGUCCAUUAGGAUUGAGUCCUAGGUCGGAUUAGCGUAGGUUGGUAGAAGUAAUCGGCUACACCAAGGCGACGAUCCG